This 75-nucleotide transfer RNA is filed under the name Chlamydiota bacterium. RNAcentral's name for it is "Chlamydiae bacterium tRNA-His". It matches the Rfam family "tRNA". From Rfam's summary of the family: Transfer RNA (tRNA) molecules are approximately 80 nucleotides in length. Their secondary structure includes four short double-helical elements and three loops (D, anti-codon, and T loops). The record is from RNAcentral. Lineage: Bacteria; Pseudomonadati; Chlamydiota.
GCGGGCGUAGCUCAGCUGGUUAGAGCACUGGAUUGUGGUUCCAGGGGUCGAGGGUUCAAGUCCCUUCGUUCGCCC